CAGUAGCCGCGGGAAUACGGAGGGUGCAAGCGUUAUCCGGAUUUAUUGGGUUUAAAGGGUCAGUAGGCGGACUUAUAAGUCAGUGGUGAAAGCCUGUCGCUUAACGAUAGAACUGCCAUUGAUACUGUAAGUCUUGAGUAUAUUUGAGGUAGCUGGAAUAAGUAGUGUAGCGGUGAAAUGCAUAGAUAUUACUUAGAACACCAAUUGCGAAGGCAGGUUACCAAGAUAUAACUGACGCUGAGGGACGAAAGCGUGGGUAGCGAACAGGAUUAGAUACCCCGGUAGUCCCUGUCUCUUAUAU
RNAcentral lists this ribosomal RNA (301 nucleotides) under uncultured bacterium. Its description in RNAcentral is "partial 16S ribosomal RNA". It matches the Rfam family "Bacterial small subunit ribosomal RNA", at positions 509 to 809 of the family's 1533-position model. The record is from RNAcentral.